AUUGAACGCUGGCGGCAGGCCUAACACAUGCAAGUAGAGCGGAGCGGCGGACGGGUAAGUAAUGCCUAGGAAUCUGCCUGGGAGUGGGGGAUAAAGUACGGAAAAGGGCGCUAAUACCGCAUACUAUCAGAUGAGCCUAGGUCGGAGUAGCUAGUUGGGUGGGUAAAGGACUACCAAGGCGACGAUCCGUAAAUGGUCUGAGAGGAUGGUCAGUGACACUGGAACUGAUACACGGUCCAGACUCCUACGGGAGGACGCAGGGGGGAAUAUUGGACAAUGGGCGAAAGCCUGAGCCAGCCAUGCCGCGUGUGUGAAGAAGGUCUUCGGAUUGUAAAGCACUUUAAGUUGGGAGGCGUUACCAACAGAAUAAGCACCGGCUAACUUCGUGCCAGCAGCCGCGGUAAUUC
RNAcentral lists this ribosomal RNA (407 nucleotides) under uncultured bacterium. RNAcentral's name for it is "partial 16S ribosomal RNA". It matches the Rfam family "Bacterial small subunit ribosomal RNA", at positions 30 to 526 of the family's 1533-position model. The record is from RNAcentral.